AGACCUACGGGUGGCUGCAGUGGGGAAUCUUGGACAAUGGGCGCAAGCCUGAUCCAGCCAUGCCGCGUGAGUGAUGAAGGCCCUAGGGUUGUAAAGCUCUUUCGCCAGGGAAGAUAAUGACGGUACCUGGAUCAGAAGCCCCGGCUAACUCCGUGCCAGCAGCCGCGGUAAUACGGAGGGGGCUAGCGUUGUUCGGCAUUACUGGGCGUAAAGCGCACGUAGGCGGCUAUCCAAGUUGGGGGUGAAAUCCCUGGGCUUAAACCAGGAACUGCCUUCAAAACUGGAUGGCUAGAGUCCGAGAGAGGUGAGUGGAAUUUCCAGUGUAGAGGUGAAAUUCGUAGAUAUUGGAAAGAACACCAGUGGCGAAGGCGGCUCACUGGCUCGGUACUGACGCUGAGGUGCGACAGCGUGGGGAGCAAACAGGAUUAGAUACCCUAGUAGUCC
This 444-nucleotide ribosomal RNA is filed under the name uncultured Parvibaculum sp. RNAcentral describes it as "bacterial SSU rRNA". It matches the Rfam family "Bacterial small subunit ribosomal RNA", at positions 335 to 796 of the family's 1533-position model. Lineage: Bacteria; Pseudomonadati; Pseudomonadota; Alphaproteobacteria; Hyphomicrobiales; Parvibaculaceae. The record is from RNAcentral.